Long non-coding RNA from Lagopus muta (rock ptarmigan), 2416 nucleotides. RefSeq lists it as uncharacterized. The transcript is spliced from 3 exons. The record is from RefSeq and is a predicted model, not a curated record. NCBI's taxonomy places the organism in Eukaryota, Metazoa, Chordata, Aves, Galliformes, Phasianidae.
CCCGCCCGGCCGUUCUCACGCCGCCGAGGGCCGGGCUGAGCCCGGGAGGGGAGCGGCGCUUCCCUUCUGCUCGGGUCCCUUCUGCCGGUUCGGACCGGCCGCCCCUUCCUCUCCGGCCUGCGGGAGACGGCGAGGUCGGGCCGCGCCCCGCGCCGCGGAAGCCGGGCCCGAACCCAGGCACGUCGGCGGCGGACGGGGCGGCAGCCUCCGGCCUGGGCUCGGGCCGAGCGGGCGGCGGCGGCGGAGCCGGAGAGGCUGCGGCCCAGCUGUGCCCGUCCCGUCCCCUUCCCGCGCCUGUGCUGUCCCGGCAGUCGGAGGAGGAGGGGAGCCGUACCGUCCCCCCGGGAGGUGUUCGGUGCCCCGGCCCACGCCUGCCUCUGUGACCGGUUUGAAGAAGACAUGGGAACAGCGAUGGUGCUGGCGCAAAGAAAUCUCUGUCAGACCUGAAGUGAGCCUGCUGAAUGCUGUAAUGACCAGUGUGUUCUUCUGUAUGGUGGUUCCUGUGACUGUACAGAAAAAAGCUCCCCUGAAGCACGGUACUCUGUGCCUUCGGUACUCUGUGCCUUCGUAGAGUGCUCACCUUUAAAAACCAGGAAAUAAAAGAGUUAAGAGAAUGCAAACUGAGGCUCUGAAAACUAAGAAAAGACUUAGCAACUCAUUCUAAUACAACCUUAACUCAGCCCCCUGAAACUGGUAAGACCCUGUCAGGGUUUGUACUGCAAUCCCAGUUACAUUCCAUUGAAUUUGCUAUUUUAAAUUAUAGCUGUAUGCACAUUAACUGCAGCAGUGUGGUUAUAAAUGCAGGACUGCUGAUCCUGACUUCUUAGGCCUCUUUUAUUCUCCCUUUUUUUUUUCUUUCUCUAAGGCAUUAGUUACAAAGAAAAGAGCAGUGGAUGAGAAAAGCUACCUGGAUCAAAGGACAGAUUGGGUACUUCACCUGUGUUCUGUGGGUUAUUUCAGCAGCAGCGGCAGGCUGUGGUCUUCUGACCAGGGCAGCAGUGAGGUGUGGUAGAGUUGUACACGGCCUUAAUGAUGAAAGCAGAACCAUGUGCUUUGCUCUGAGGGCUCUGGUGAAGUACAUUAAAAAUGAGGUAAAGGAGUAACAUUUUGCAAAAAUAUGGCUACUCCUGUUCAGAAGAUCUGACCUUUCAAACACAAGAGCUUAUAUAUGGGACGAGUUCAUGUCAGCGGAGGUUUCAGCAAGGAGUGCUGUGAGGCUGGCCCAUGGUCAGAGUGCAGCAGGCACACAGCACUUUCCAGGAGCCUCCAGCUGUCUGUGUUGUGAGCAUGCUCUCAAGGAGUUCUCCUCCCAGUCUGCACAUGUCUAGAAUUGCCCCAGCCCACCUUGCACUUGACCUUGUUGAACCUCACUAGGUACCCGUGGGUACUUUUUUCUAGCCUGUCCAGGUUCCUCUGGAUGACAUCCUUUCCUUCUUUGGACUCUGGAUUUUCUUGUUUAAAGUAAAGAACCCUCUCCUCUGUGUGCCACAUCUCAGCUUCCCUUUUGUUGCCUUUUCAUGUCUGGCAGCAGUUACCUCAGCACCAUGUCUGCACAGCACAGCACAGCAGCGUGUCAGGACACUGCACUAGUUCGUGGUACUUGGAAGCAGUAGAGUCAGGUUGUUAUAAUAGUCCACAAAGACUAAUUAACCUUGCUGAGAUAAAUGUAACAUCAACCUGCAGCAUAGGCUGGUUCUUCCUCAUCCCUCCUCGCAGUCCCAAGGGAGGAUCAUGUUCAGUGAGGAACCUGCAGAAACAGCACGGGAUUGAGCAUGGAGGCAGCAAAAGGAUUCUGAGUUGAGCAUGUGGGGCUAACACAGCAAUGGGCAAAUGGCAGGACUGAAUGUGGAACAUUUCAUUCAGCUCAUAACACUUUGACUAAAUUAUUGUUUUAUCUAUGACAAAUUACUUCAGGUUUGAGCCAGAAAAGGCCUUGGCUGGGCUGUGGUUUCUCAGGCAGAGAUAUGACAUAUCUGUUCCAUGUAAAGCAGAUGAAUGUCCAUUAUGGCUCAGAUCUCAUGGAUUCCUUAUAACUGCAGUUUAGGAUGCAUCCUCUACUAUGUGAAGGAAGGUCCAAGAUUUCCAGGUGCACAGCAGCUGCUGCUCCAACUGGAACAACUUCUGCCAAAUGAAGAUGACCUGCAUAAUAUGUAGCAUGUAAAUCUGACAGAUGGCUUAGAACAGUGAAGGCUGUUAUGGGAAAUGAAAUUGGCCAUGUCAUAUUUCAUAUAAAGGUGUAUCUAUUGACAUAAAUUGACAGAAGUCCUUUGUCUCACUCACUUCUCCAUUUAUUCGUAAUAUUCAUCUUGAUUCUCACGUCCUUCACACACCUACAUUCCAUACCUAUUUUCCUUUACUUUUUUUUUUUCAUCUUCAAACAUUGUUCACACGUUCGCUGUUCCUCAGGCACUCCUGC